Molecule: ribosomal RNA, 490 nt
Filed under: uncultured bacterium
Lineage: Bacteria
Description: partial 16S ribosomal RNA
Rfam family: Bacterial small subunit ribosomal RNA
Source: RNAcentral
AUUGAACGCUGGCGGCAGGCCUAACACAUGCAAGUCGAACGGUAACAGGAAGAAGCUUGCUUCUUUGCUGACGAGUGGCGGACGGGUGAGUAAUGUCUGGGAAACUGCCUGAUGGAGGGGGAUAACUACUGGAAACGGUAGCUAAUACCGCAUAACGUCGCAAGACCAAAGAGGGGGACCUUCGGGCCUCUUGCCAUCGGGUGUGCCCAGAUGGGAUUAGCUAGUAGGUGGGGUAACGGCUCACCUAGGCGACGAUCCCUAGCUGGUCUGAGAGGAUGACCAGCCACACUGGAACUGAGACACGGUCCAGACUCCUACGGGAGGCAACAGUGGGGAAUAUUGCACAAUGGGCGCAAGCCUGAUGCAGCCAUGCCGCGUGUAUGAAGAAGGCCUUCGGGUUGUAAAGUACUUUCAGCGGGGAGGAAGGGAGUAAAGUUAAUACCUUUACUCAUUGACGUUACCCGCAGAAGAAGCACCGGCUAACUCCGUG